GAACUGACGGGGAGUUCUGCUUACUCAGUAGCCUGGCCAGUCACCAGGUCUCAAUUCAAUUGAGCAUCUGUAGGAUGAGAUGAAACAAGCUAUUCGGAGUAAAGAUCCACUUCCAGCCAACAGCUGAACUCCCCGUCAGUUCACUGUCACUGGACAAUCCUAGCCUUGUGGCAUGGGGCAGGGCGUGACACCUCUAUGACACUGGGCCUGUUUUUCAUGGUUUUUGCUAAGCCCCUUCGUUCCAGUGAAGGAAAUCAUAACGCUACAGCAUAGAACGACAUUCUAGACAAUUCUGUGCUUCCAACUUUGUGGCAACAUUUUGGGAAGGCCCUUUCCUGUUUCAGCAUGACAAUGCCCCCGUGCACAAAGUAAAAAGUAAGCGAUAAGAAAAAUAAAUAAUAAAAGAGCAGCAGUAAAUAACAAUAGCGGGGGCUAUAUACAGGGGGUACCGGUACAGAGUCAAUGUGCAAUGGUGUUUGUGCAACAGAGUCAAUGUCUCCAGAGUCCAAUGGUGGCGAGCUUUACACCACUCCAGCCGACGCUUGGCAUUGCACAUGGUGAUCUUAGGCUUGUGUGCAGCUGCUUGGCCUUGGAAACCCAUUUCAUGAAGCUCCCUACGAACAGUUGUUGUGCUGACGUUGCUUCCAGAGACAGUUUGGAACUCGGUAGGGAGUGUUGCAACCGAGGACAGGCGAUUUUUACACGCUAUGCGCUACCACUUUGCGGCUGUGUGGCCUACCACUUUGCACCUGUGUGGCCUGCCACUUUGCGGCUGUGUGGCCUACCACUUUGCGGCUGUGUGGCCUACCACUUUGCGGCUGUGUGGCCUACCACUUUGCGGCUGUGUGGCCUACCACUUUGUGGCUGUGUGGCCUACCACUUUGCGGCUGUGUGGCCUACCACUUUGCAACUGAGCAGUUGUUGCUCUCAGAUGUUUCCACUUCACAAUAACAGCACCUACAGUCGACCGGGGCAGCUCCAGCAGGGCAGAAAUUUUACAAUUUACGAUUUGUUGAAAAGGAGGCAUCUUUUGACGGUGCUACGUUGAAAGUCACUGAGCUCUUCAUUAAGGCCAUUCUACUGCCAAUGUUUGUUUAUGGAGAUUGAAUGGCUGUGUGCUCGAUUUUAUACAUCUGUCAGCAACGGGUGUGGCUGAAAUAGCCAAAUCCACUAAUUUGAAGGGAUGUCCACUUUUGAAUAUAUAGUGUACAUGGUUUUUGUUCAACUUUUUGUUUUCAGGUCUUCUUGAUUCUGGGUUUGUUGAGUUCAGGUCUUCUGGGUUUGUUGUGUUCAGGCGUUCUUGGUUCUGGGUUUGUUGAGGUCAGGUCUUCUUGGUUUGUUGAGUUCAGGUGUUCUUGGUUCUGGGUUUGUUGUGUUCAGGUCUUCUUGGUUCUGGGUUUGUUGUGUUCAGGUCUUCUUGGUUCUGAAUUUGUUGUGUUCAGGUCUUCUUGGUUCUGGGUUUGUUGAUUCUACUGUAGAUCUCAGAGGGGUCCUUCUCAGCUGUUUGUG
Long non-coding RNA from Oncorhynchus tshawytscha (Chinook salmon), 1509 nucleotides. Lineage: Eukaryota; Metazoa; Chordata; Actinopteri; Salmoniformes; Salmonidae. The record is from Ensembl.